UACGUAGGGGGCAAGCGUUGUCCGGAUUUAUUGGGCGUAAAGAGCGUGUAGGCGGCUUUACAGGUCCGUUGUGAAAACUCGAGGCUCAACCUCGAGACGCCGGUGGAAACCGUAAAGCUAGAGUCCGGAAGAGGAGAGUGGAAUUCCUGGUGUAGCGGUGAAAUGCGCAGAUAUCAGGAAGAACACCCGUGGCGAAGGCGGCUCUCUGGGACGGUACUGACGCUGAGACGCGAAAGCGUGGGGAGCGAACAAG
This 253-nucleotide ribosomal RNA is filed under the name uncultured bacterium. RNAcentral describes it as "partial 16S ribosomal RNA". It matches the Rfam family "Bacterial small subunit ribosomal RNA", at positions 524 to 776 of the family's 1533-position model. The record is from RNAcentral.